Molecule: ribosomal RNA, 520 nt
Filed under: uncultured bacterium
Lineage: Bacteria
Description: bacterial SSU rRNA
Rfam family: Bacterial small subunit ribosomal RNA
Source: RNAcentral
UAGUCCAUGCCGUCAACUAUGAGAGCUCAUCUUAGAAAAACUGAGAUUUAGUUAACACGUUAAGCUCUUCGCCAGGGAAGUACGAUUGCAAGGUUAAAACUCAAAGGAAUUGACGGGAAUCCAUACAAACGGUGGAGCAUGUGGUUUAAUUCGAUACAACGCGUAAAAUCUUACCAGACUUUGUAUAAAUUUACUAUGAAUUUACAAGAUUGCAUGGCUGUCGUCAGUCCGUGUUGUGAAACGUUUGGUUAAUUCCAGUGAACGGACGCAACUUUUAUGUUUAAAUAUUUUUUAUUAGGCAAAUUGUUAAGAAAUACUUAAAGGAAGUGAAAAUGACGUCAAGUCUUCAUGGUCUUUAUAGUUUGGGCUACUUUCAUGUGCUACAAUGGAGUAUACAAAGAGCCGCGAUACUGUGAAGUGGAGCAAAUCUAUAAAAUAUCUCCCAGUUCGGAUAGCACUCUGCAACUCGAGUGCUUGAAGUUGGAAUCGCUAGUAAUCGUAGAUCAGCAAUGCUACGGUG